This 481-nucleotide ribosomal RNA is filed under the name uncultured bacterium. Its description in RNAcentral is "partial 16S ribosomal RNA". It matches the Rfam family "Bacterial small subunit ribosomal RNA", at positions 28 to 507 of the family's 1533-position model. The record is from RNAcentral.
GAUGAACGCUGGCGGCGUGCUUAACACAUGCAAGUCGAACGAAGCACUUUAUUUGAUUUCCUUCGGGACUGAUUAUUUUGUGACUGAGUGGCGGACGGGUGAGUAACGCGUGGGUAACCUGCCUUGUACAGGGGGAUAACAGUUGGAAACGGCUGCUAAUACCGCAUAAGCGCACGUCAUCGCAUGAUGCAGUGUGAAAACCUCCGGUGGUAUAAGAUGGACCCGCGUUGGCUUGGCUAGUGGGUGAGGGUACGGCCCACCAAGGCGAGGACACAUAGCCGACAUGAGAGGCAGACCGGACACACUUGGAAUGAGACACGGCCCGAAAUCCUACGGGAGGCAGCAGUGGGGAAUAUUGCACAAUCGCGGAAAGCAUGAUGCAGCGACGACGGGUGAGCCAAGAAGUAUUUCGGUAUGUAAAGCUCUAUUAGCAGGGAAGAUAAUGACGGUACCUGACCAAGAAGCACCGGCUAACUACGUG